Molecule: ribosomal RNA, 468 nt
Filed under: uncultured bacterium
Lineage: Bacteria
Description: partial 16S ribosomal RNA
Rfam family: Bacterial small subunit ribosomal RNA
Source: RNAcentral
GACGAACGCUGGCGGCGUGCUUAACACAUGCAAGUCGAACGGAAAGGCCCUGCUUUUGUGGGGUGCUCGAGUGGCGAACGGGUGAGUAACACGUGAGUAACCUGCCCUUGACUUUGGGAUAACUUCAGGAAACUGGGGCUAAUACCGGAUAGGAGCUCCUGCUGCAUGGUGGGGGUUGGAAAGUUUCGGCGGUUGGGGAUGGACUCGCGGCUUAUCAGCUUGUUGGUGGGGUAGUGGCUUACCAAGGCUUUGACGGGUAGCCGGCCUGAGAGGGUGACCGGCCACAUUGGGACUGAGAUACGGCCCAGCCUCCUACGGGAGGCAGCAGUGGGGAAUAUUGCACAGUGGGCGGAAGCCUGAUGCAGCAACGCCGCGUGCGGGAUGACGGCCUUCGGGUUGUAAACCGCUUUCGCCUGUGACGAAGCGUGAGUGACGGUAAUGGGUAAAGAAGCACCGGCUAACUACGUG